UCUUAUGUACAUGCCUAUAUUGUUAAUGAAUUGGAUCCCAUUAGAAAUCUAUAGUUAAGAACACUUGGGAUAGAGUAGUAUUGGGAUGGGUGAUCUCCCGGGAAGUCCUAGUGUUUUACAUGCC
Molecule: non-coding RNA, 124 nt
Organism: Picea glauca (white spruce)
Lineage: Eukaryota; Viridiplantae; Streptophyta; Pinopsida; Pinales; Pinaceae
Source: Rfam